Molecule: ribosomal RNA, 1264 nt
Rfam family: Bacterial large subunit ribosomal RNA
Source: Rfam
GAGUACUUGCGGGCCCCUACCGGGGUACCAAUAGUUUUCAAACUCCGAAUACCGUGUGGCAUUACCGUGGGAGUCAGACUGCGGGGGAUAAGCUCCGUAGUCGAAAGGGAAACAGCCCAGACCGCCGGCUAAGGUCCCCAAUUCAGACUAAGUGGUUUGAAGGAGGUGGAAUUGCAUAGACAGCCAGGAUGUUGGCUUAGAGGCAGCCAUCAUUUAAAGAGUGCGUAAUAGCUCACUGGUCGAGUGAUUCUGCGCCGAAGAUGAUCGGGACUAAGUCUGGAACCGAAGCCGCGGAUAUGAAUCUUUGAUUUAUAUGGUAGGAAAGCGUUGUAUACUGGGUCGAAGCAGAAGGGUAACCGACUGUGGACUGUAUACAAGUGACCAUGCAGGCAUGAGUAGCGAAAAACAAGGUGAGAAUCCUUGUCACCGAAAGCCUAAGGUUUCCCGUGGGCAGGAUCGUCCGCCCGGGGUUAGUCGGAUCCUAAGGCAAGGCCGAAAGGCGUAGUCGAUGGACAACAGGUUAAUAUUCCUGUACCGUUGUAAACUAGUGAUGGAGUGACGCAGGCGGCUAUAUGAGCAGUCGAUUGGAAGUGACUGUCUAAGCGCGUAGGCCGAAGAGUAGGAAAAUCCGCUCUUCAUCAGGCUGAGACGUUAUGGGCCCGAGAUUCUUCGGAUGAUCGGGAUUCAUAGAUGCCUUGCUGCCAAGAAAAACUUCUAAGCGUUUUGACGUUUACAGCGUCCGUACCGUAAACCGACACAGGUAGGCAGGUCGAGUAGACCAAGGUGUUCGAGAUAAACCACGUUAAGGAACUCGGCAAAUUAACCCCGUAACUUCGGGAAAAGGGGUGCCCUCAAUUGUGUAAGAAUUUACUUCUGAAGCAUACGAGGGUCGCAGCUAAGCGGCUCAGGCGACUGUUUACCAAAAACACAGCUCUCUGCUAACUCGCAAGAGGACGUAUAGGGAGUGACACGUGACCAAUGCCGAAAGGUCAAGGGAAUAGGUUAGUCUUCGGACGAAGCUUUGAACCGAAGCCCCGGUGAAUGUCGGCCGUAACUAUAACGGUCCUAAGGUAGCGAAAUUCCUUGUCGGGUAAGUUCCGACCCGCACGAAUCGUGCAACGAUCUGAGCACUGUCUCAACGUGGUUCUCGGCGAAAUUGUAGUUCCGGUGAAAAUGCCGGAUACCCGCAGCAGGACGGAAAGACCCCGUGAACCUUUACUGUAACCUGAUAUUGGUGUUUGAUACUUUAUGUGUAGUAUAGGUG